RNAcentral lists this long non-coding RNA (867 nucleotides) under Solanum tuberosum (potato). Its description in RNAcentral is "long non-coding RNA (STUB_LNC011230)". The record is from RNAcentral. Lineage: Eukaryota; Viridiplantae; Streptophyta; Magnoliopsida; Solanales; Solanaceae.
UCCCCAAAAUUUAUUUUAGCACUGUAACUUUACGUGUAUUUAAAUACCCCUUAAACAACUUACAAGUGAAUUAAAUAUGACCUUAGAGGCUGACGUGGCAAAUAAAAAAUUUAUAAGCGCGUAAAUAGCAUAAAAAAUGAAAAGGGAAGGUAAGUGGGUCCCACUUUGUCUUUUUUUAGCAACCUGUACCAGCUCUCUUUGUUUCCACCGCCGGCGGUCACUUCCGAGAAAACAUUUCUCUAAUCAACAAAUUCAACGAAACUCAACCACGCCAGACCUCACCCCAACCCCUUUGUUCUUCGUUCAUCACCGUUUAAAGCUCUUGCGAGAGAUCAGCCGCCGUGAGACCACCAAAUCUCGCUAAGAAAUUUCACCACACCGGCAACCAUGGAAAAAAUGUCGGCCAUACCCUUUUCCUGGCUUUCCUCCAUUCUUCCCUUUAUUUGUUUUCAUUUUUUUUGUCUUUUUCAGGCGAGCCAUCAGAUCUGUCGGUUUUGAGCCUAAUAUAACAACAAUAACUCUGGCGAUUGUCAUUGAAGCAGUUGAUGGUUGUCCUUAGAGCAACCAUGGUUGUUAAGCUUUAGCUUUCAAAAAACUUGCAAAUAAAAAUAUGGAGAAAUAGUAAGUUAAACAACAAAAAAUGAAAUUGAAAAUAAACAUUCCCAAGAGUAUGAGCAGGAGUAGCACCAACAAACCCAGCUCCAACGAUGAUGAUAAUUUUUCAAAGUUGUCGUUGAAGCACUUGCCGACGUGUUUCGCACAAUGUUCGUCAAAUUAUUAGAAAUUACGUUGUGGGUGUUGGAUUUUUGCAAAGGGUAACAAUUACUUUUGUAUUGUAUUGAUUAUUGAAAUAAUGAAGAACAUGGA